This 920-nucleotide ribosomal RNA is filed under the name uncultured euryarchaeote. RNAcentral describes it as "bacterial SSU rRNA". It matches the Rfam family "Archaeal small subunit ribosomal RNA", at positions 21 to 902 of the family's 1478-position model. Lineage: Archaea; Methanobacteriati; Methanobacteriota. The record is from RNAcentral.
AGCUACUGCUAUUGGAAUCCGAUUAAGCCAUGCGAGUCUAAAGGACUUCGGUCCUUGGCAGACGGCUCAGUAACACGUGGAGAACCUGCCCUCAGGAGGGGGAUAACCCCGGGAAACUGGGAAUAAUACCCCAUAGGUCUAGGAUGCUGGAAUGCUUCUAGGCUGAAAGCUCCGGCGCCUGAGGAUGGCUCUGCGGCUUAUCAGGUUGUAGUGAGGGUAACGUCCUCACUAGCCUAUGACGGGUACGGGCCCUGAGAGGGGAAGCCCGGAGAUGGACUCUGAGACACGAGUCCAGGCCCUACGGGGCGCAGCAGGCGCGAAAACUCCGCAAUGCUCGAAAGAGUGACGGGGGGAUUCCAAGUGCCUACGCUCAGCGUAGGCUGUUCAGAUGCCUAAAAAGCAUCUGGAGUAAGGGCUGGGUAAGACGGGUGCCAUCUGUGGCAGCAGCCGAAGAUUUGGCUUGCUACUGCAAGGCAUAAGCCGCCGCGGUAAUACCCGCAGCUCGAGUGGUAGUCGGUUUUAUUGGGCCUAAAGCGUCCGUAUCCGGUCUGGUAAAUGCCUGGGUAAAUCGUGGGGCUCAACCCUACGAAUUCCGGGUAGACUGCCAGACUUGGGACCGGUUGAGGAAGAGGGUACUUCAGGGGUAGGAGUGAAAUCCUGUAAUCCUUGAAGGACCACCAGUGGCGAAGGCGCUCUUCUAGGACGGGUCCGACGGUGAGGGACGAAAGCCAGGGGAGCAAACCGGAUUAGAUACCCGGGUAGUCCUGGCCGUAAACGAUGUGGGCUUGGCAUUGGGGGUUCUACGUGAGCGCCCAGUGCCGUAGCGAAGGCGUUAAGCCCACCGCCUGGGAAGUAUGGUCGCAAGGCUGAAACUUAAAGGAAUUGGCGGGGGAGCACAGCAACGGGAGGAGCGUGCGGUU